UUGCCCUAGUAACGGCGAGUGAAGCGGCAACAGCUCAAAUUUGAAAUCUGGCUCUUUUAGGGUCCGAGUUGUAAUUUGCAGAGGGCGCUUUGGCGUUGGCAGCGGUCCAAGUUCUUUGGAACAGGACGUCACAGAGGGUGAGAAUCCCGUACGUGGUCGCUAUCCUUCGCCGUGUAAAGCCCCUUCGACGAGUCGAGUUGUUUGGGAAUGCAGCUCUAAAUGGGAGGUAAAUUUCUUCUAAAGCUAAAUACUGGCCAGAGACCGAUAGCGCACAAGUAGAGUGAUCGAAAGAUGAAAAGCACUUUGGAAAGAGAGUCAAAUAGCACGUGAAAUUGUUGAAAGGGAAGCGCUUGCAGCCAGACUUGCUUGUAGUUGCUUAUCUGGACUUUUGUCCGGUGCACUCUUCUAUAGGCAGGCCAGCAUCAGUUUGGGCGGUUAGAUAAAGGUCUCUGUCAUGUACCUCUCCUCGGAGAGGCCUUAUAGGGGAGACGACAUGUAACCAGCCCAGACUGAGGUCCGCGCAUCUGCUAGGAUGCUGGCGUAAUGGCUGUAAGCGGCCCGUCUUGAAACACGGACCAAGGAGUCUAACAUCUAUGCGAGUGUUUGGGUGUCAAGCCCAGACGCGUAAUGAAAGUGAACGGAGGUAGGACCCCUUUGGGCGCACUAUCGACCGAUCCUGAUGUCUUCGGAAGGAUUUGAGUAAGAGCAUGGCUGUUGGGACCCGAAAGAUGGUGAACUAUGCUUGAAUAGGGUGAAGCCAGAGGAAACUCUGGUGGAGGCUCGCAGCGGUUCUGACGUGCAAAUCGAUCGUCAAAUAG
RNAcentral lists this ribosomal RNA (818 nucleotides) under Ophiobolus lathyri. RNAcentral describes it as "Ophiobolus sp. RSB-2020a partial large subunit ribosomal RNA". It matches the Rfam family "Eukaryotic large subunit ribosomal RNA", at positions 75 to 913 of the family's 3401-position model. The record is from RNAcentral. Lineage: Eukaryota; Fungi; Ascomycota; Dothideomycetes; Pleosporales; Phaeosphaeriaceae. RNAcentral also lists the same sequence under 1 other name.